GCGCCUGUGGUGAAAUUGGUAGACAUACCAGACUUAGGAUCUGGCGCCGCGAGGCAUGGGGGUUCGAGUCCCUCCAGGCGCA
Molecule: transfer RNA, 82 nt
Filed under: Chitinophagaceae bacterium
Lineage: Bacteria; Pseudomonadati; Bacteroidota; Chitinophagia; Chitinophagales; Chitinophagaceae
Description: tRNA-Leu
Rfam family: tRNA
About the family: Transfer RNA (tRNA) molecules are approximately 80 nucleotides in length.
Source: RNAcentral